AACUCCACACUAAAGCAAUAUGGAGAACAGAAACCAGGACAGAAAUUCUCCAGACUAACAGUAGCCACCCUACAGACAAGAAGCUACUGGCUGCCCUUCUGUACAAGUUUUGGGGACGAAACAAAAUAACUGAGAAGAAAUAUUUGUUCCGAUAACAGCGUCCUACUGAAGGGGAUUGAAGCUGCUGUAACUGAAAAACACAGGACAUGUUGAUGACUGAGUUAAACUCUAGGCCUCAGAAACUGAAGAUUAGAAUUGCAGGCACCCAGAAGUCAGCAGAUUUCUCGUCUCUUUCUCUGUGUACCCUACAGUGUUCUGUUAACAUUUUGCAAUAGGUUCAGCAGCUAAGUUUUCUGGGGUGUGUGUAAGAGCACACCACUUCCUGUGGUGACCGUUGUGUUUCCUGUUUUCUCAAGGCUGAUGGAGACGAGCUGGCGCGGCUGCUGAUUUUGAAACAGGGGCAGCUGCAUGAUAGUCUUGUGAGAGCUCUGAAUGAAUCACCAUCCCAUCCUUACAGAAAAAUCCCGAAUCUUUCCAGAGUUGGAACUCUAACUUUGGUGGUGCUGGGCUACCUGCUCACGCGCUGCAAAGAGACUGGGGAAUGCUCAGAACGCCAAACAGUAAGAAGUCAAGAGGCAGAACACAGCGGGUCAUGAGAUUGGUCCAGAGAUCAUAAAACUUCUGGAAAAGAACUUCUGUUCACUGAGAUACAGCCCAUCUCCACAGUAACAUUUUCUUUUUUAAUAUGAAAAUCACGAAGCAUCAGAAACCACAAGCCAGUAACAGUGGAUGGACAGGAAGGUUGUUACUGAAACACAGAACUACCUUUACACAGACAUUUGACCAAAAAACAUUCAAACCACUGGAGGGUUCAAGGAUACACUAAAUUCAGUUUGUUGAUAGAAGAACCUAUUUUGGUAAAAGACAGACAAGGAAUAUAAAUUGACCAAUCAAUCAAUCAAUAAAUAAUUAAAAAAUUCUCUGAUGUAGUAUAAGGGAUGCAGAAUAAAUCUAUCUUGUUACAACCU
Molecule: long non-coding RNA, 1028 nt
Organism: Gallus gallus (chicken)
Lineage: Eukaryota; Metazoa; Chordata; Aves; Galliformes; Phasianidae
Source: Ensembl